This 73-nucleotide transfer RNA is filed under the name Molorchus minor. RNAcentral's name for it is "tRNA-OTHER". Lineage: Eukaryota; Metazoa; Arthropoda; Insecta; Coleoptera; Cerambycidae. The record is from RNAcentral.
GACGCGCAAUAGCUCAGUUAGAAGAGCAUUGGCCCAGAAAGCCGGCUCCCGGGUUCAAGUUGCGGCUGCGUCA